CAAACAAUGAAGCACAUUUUCGGCUUUCUGGCACCAGGUCCCAUUAGUUUCUCUCUCUCUCUCUCCACAGAUAGCUUGAUGGAGGAUAUGGAUGUUGACCUAGAGAUAGUUUCUGCAUGAUCUGAAAGAUUUAAAGAUUUUGGUUAAUGACAAAGACAUAGACCAACAUAAAAGCCUGGUGUGUGCUUCUCUGAUGGGAAAAAGCGAAGUCUACAAGUUGAUGGAGGCUAACUUCAAAAAUCUUUCUAGAGUGCUGAUAAACCUUGCAUCUGAACUCACACAUACCAAAGAUGUCAGAGAUGUAUUCAUUGACCUUGUGGAGGUAAACCACUAAUAUCAAAUUAACUUGUUUUUUUGUGAUAUUUCUCUUUUUAACAUGUUUCAAAAACGUGUUGUAUUGAGUUACACUUUUUGGCAUUAUAGACUGUAGAAACAAAUUAGACAUGUAUGUGAAUAAACUGCUUAAUCUCUAUUCCGGCACCAGAUGAUUUGAGACAGAUACCACAAAUAAGCAGAUCUCUGCAGGCUGGUCUGGACCUCCACCUUAUUGAUCUUUAUUGAUCUUACUGUGAAUCUGAGUCUUCCCUCACGCAUUUACUUAACUACCUCAGCAGUCCACCUCUCCCUGAUAUUACCUAGUUUUCUCGGUCUCCUUCUGUCUCUUCAGUCCCCCCUGUAAAUAUACUGAAUUAUCAUUUUCUGAUGUGUAAAUUGUGACUUAACUCUUUGGGAUAGGGGGCAGUAUUUUCACGUCUGGAUGAAAAGCGUGCCCAAAGUAAACUGCCUGCUACUCAGGCCCAGAAGCUAGAAUAUGCAUAUAAUUGGUAUUUGGAUUUGGAUAGACAACACUCUAAAGUUUCUAAAACUGUUAAUAUAAUGUCUGUGAG
This 887-nucleotide long non-coding RNA is filed under the name Salmo trutta (river trout). Its description in RNAcentral is "lncRNA (ENSSTUG00000016884.1)". The record is from RNAcentral. Lineage: Eukaryota; Metazoa; Chordata; Actinopteri; Salmoniformes; Salmonidae.